Molecule: ribosomal RNA, 1155 nt
Filed under: Triticum aestivum (bread wheat)
Lineage: Eukaryota; Viridiplantae; Streptophyta; Magnoliopsida; Poales; Poaceae
Description: partial small subunit ribosomal RNA
Source: RNAcentral
CGUGACAUCACCUAUGAAAUGGAGUCUGCUGAUGUAGCCCCUGCCAGCUAUGUCACUUUUGCUUCCUUCUUCCUGAAGGGACCCGCAGCUCAAUGGUGGGACAGCCAUAGGCGUACUCUGCCAGUUGGGACAAUCAUCUCCUGGCCAGACUUUCAGGCUGCCUUCCGUGCCCGCUUCAUUCCUCAGGGAGUCAUGGACCGGAAGAAGCGUGAGUUUCGCAACCUCACCCAAGGCAACAAGACUGUUGAAGCUUAUCAGCGGGAGUUUCUGGACUUGUCUCGCUAUGCUGAAGAGGACAUUGCAACUGAUGCACGUAGGCAGGAGAAGUUCCGUGACGGCCUUCAAGCUGACAUCAAGCUCGCACUUCUAGUGCACGACUUUGCUGAUUUCGCCACCUUGGUGAAUAAGGCCAUCAAUGUUGAGACUGGUCUUCAAGAACACCAUAGCUCUCAAAGGCGCAACCGUGACACGGGCUCAUCUUCGGGCCCGCCCUCGCAGAAGCGUAAGAUAUGGAUCCCGAACAGCAUGUACCGUCCAAAUGCACCAGCCCCAAGGCAGUCUUACGCUACACCUCGUCUGCCUAUUGCUCCAACUAGGCUGCCAAGGCUUCCAGCUCCGCCACCCCAAGCUCCUGUUCCCACUCCCAAUAAUGGCCUGUGCUACAAGUGUGGUCAACCAGGUCACCGUGCUAGGGAUUGCAUUCAGAAUCAGAAUCAACUGGCCCUUCCAGCCGCUGGCCGUGGAAACAACCAGGCCCGCAACAACAAUGCCAAGUCUUAUGGCCGUGUUCAUGCCAACCACAUUGAUCUGAAUGAAGCUCAAGACCAGCCUGCUACUGUGAUGGGUACACUCCUCGUAAAUUCAGUACCAGCAUCCGUUUUAUUUGAUACAGGUGCAUCGCAUUCAUUCAUGUCAGAAGAAUUUGCAUACAAGCACGAUGUUAAAUUUGAGCAGAUGAACACUUCGGUAGUGGUAAAAACCCCCGCGGGACAAUGUCAGACCUCCAUGGUUGGCAUUGACGUCCCUGUGGAAAUCGAAGGGUUGGAGUUUCGUGCCUCGCCCAUUAUACUGAAGUCGUCUAACAUUGACCUCAUUCUGGGAAUGGAUUGGUUAAAGGCGCAUACUGCUUCUAUCGUUUGCGCCACUAAGACCGUC